Molecule: unclassified non-coding RNA, 646 nt
Filed under: uncultured Prochlorococcus sp.
Lineage: Bacteria; Bacillati; Cyanobacteriota; Cyanophyceae; Synechococcales; Prochlorococcaceae
Description: partial 16S-23S ribosomal RNA intergenic spacer; may also contain 16S ribosomal RNA and 23S ribosomal RNA
Rfam family: tRNA (bases 305-377)
Source: RNAcentral
UUGUGGAGGAGGACGCCGAAGGUGGGGCUAAUGACUGGGGUGAAGUCGUAACAAGGUAGCCGUGCCGGAAGGUGCGGCUGGAUCACCUCCUAACAGGGAGACAACAAAAUGUUUAAUAUUAUUAUUUUGUCACCUUAGGUCGGUCGGUAUCUUACGUUCUUAAUUUGUUAAGAAUUUCAUUUCCUAAGUUUUUCUAGGUCACACCCAUUAUUUUUCCUGGGCCAUUAGCUCAGGUGGUUAGAGCGCACCCCUGAUAAGGGUGAGGUCCCUGGUUCAAGUCCAGGAUGGCCCAUAUCUCUAUGUUGGGGGUAUAGCUCAGUUGGUAGAGCGCCUGCUUUGCAAGCAGGAUGUCAGCGGUUCGAGUCCGCUUACCUCCACUGAUUACCACCUCUUCCAUAACUGUUAGAAAGGAAAUGUUUUGAGUUGUGAUUAUUAUUCUGAACGAAUCUAGCUUCCUAAUGAAAUCAUUAAGAUGCUGGACUCAUUGAAUUAAUUUCAUUGUUUUCAGAGGACCUUGACAACUGCAUAGAUUUUUUUAAAGACAAUAAGCAUCUUUAAUGAUGCAGAUUUAUUAUUUGUGCGAAUGCAUUAAUAACAAUUCUAUUAAGCUGAUGCUUCAAUUUUGAAGUUAUUGGUCAAGCUACAA